This 465-nucleotide ribosomal RNA is filed under the name Clostridioides difficile. RNAcentral describes it as "bacterial SSU rRNA". It matches the Rfam family "Bacterial small subunit ribosomal RNA", at positions 338 to 795 of the family's 1533-position model. The record is from RNAcentral. Lineage: Bacteria; Bacillati; Bacillota; Clostridia; Peptostreptococcales; Peptostreptococcaceae.
CCUACGGGAGGCUGCAGUGGGGAAUUUUGGACAAUGGGCGCAAGCCUGAUCCAGCCAUGCCGCGUGUCUGAAGAAGGCCUUCGGGUUGUAAAGGACUUUUGUCAGGGAAGAAAAGGCUGUUGCUAAUAUCAGCGGCUGAUGACGGUACCUGAAGAAUAAGCACCGGCUAACUACGUGCCAGCAGCCGCGGUAAUACGUAGGGUGCGAGCGUUAAUCGGAAUUACUGGGCGUAAAGCGGGCGCAGACGGUUACUUAAGCAGGAUGUGAAAUCCCCGGGCUCAACCCGGGAACUGCGUUCUGAACUGGGUGACUCGAGUGUGUCAGAGGGAGGUAGAAUUCCACGUGUAGCAGUGAAAUGCGUAGAGAUGUGGAGGAAUACCGAUGGCGAAGGCAGCCUCCUGGGACAACACUGACGUUCAUGCCCGAAAGCGUGGGUAGCAAACAGGAUUAGAUACCCGUGUAGUC